GAACGGGUGAGUAACACGUGGGCAAUCUGCCCUGCACUCUGGGACAAGCCCUGGAAACGGGGUCUAAUACCGGAUAUGAGCCUGGGAGGCAUCUCCCGGGUUGUAAAGCUCCGGCGGUGCAGGAUGAGCCCGCGGCCUAUCAGCUUGUUGGUGAGGUAAUGGCUCACCAAGGCGACGACGGGUAGCCGGCCUGAGAGGGCGACCGGCCACACUGGGACUGAGACACGGCCCAGACUCCUACGGGAGGCAGCAGUGGGGAAUAUUGCACAAUGGGCGAAAGCCUGAUGCAGCGACGCCGCGUGAGGGAUGACGGCCUUCGGGUUGUAAACCUCUUUCAGCAGGGAAGAAGCGAGAGUGACGGUACCUGCAGAAGAAGCGCCGGCUAACUACGUGCCAGCAGCCGCGGUAAUACGUAGGGCGCAAGCGUUGUCCGGAAUUAUUGGGCGUAAAGAGCUCGUAGGCGGCUUGUCACGUCGAUUGUGAAAGCCCGAGGCUUAACCUCGGGUCUGCAGUCGAUACGGGCUAGCUAGAGUGUGGUAGGGGAGAUCGGAAUUCCUGGUGUAGCGGUGAAAUGCNCANAUAUCANGNAGGAACACCGGUGGCGAAGGCGGAUCUCUGGGCCAUUACUGACGCUGAGGAGCGAAA
Molecule: ribosomal RNA, 645 nt
Filed under: Streptomyces sp. 3212_4
Lineage: Bacteria; Bacillati; Actinomycetota; Actinomycetes; Kitasatosporales; Streptomycetaceae
Description: bacterial SSU rRNA
Rfam family: Bacterial small subunit ribosomal RNA
Source: RNAcentral